AGAGUUUGAUCAUGGCUCAGAAUGAACGCUGGCGGCGUGCUUAACACAUGCAAGCCGUACGAGAACUCUUUAGCUUGCUAAAGAUAGUAAAGUGGCGUACGGGUGAGUAACGCGUGGGUAAUCUACCUCUUAAUCUGGGAUAACAUUGCGAAAGCGAUGCUAAUACCGGAUAAUAUCUCAAAAUCGCCAGGUUUUGAGAUCAAAAGUGGCCUCUACAUGUAAGCUGCUGUUUGGAGAUGAGCCCGCGUACCAUUAGCUUGUUGGUAGGGUAAUGGCCUACCAAGGCAACGAUGGUUAGCUGGUCUGAGAGGAUGAUCAGCCACACUGGAACUGACACACGGUCCAGACUCCUACGGGAGGCAGCAGUGAGGAAUUUUGCGCAAUGGGGGAAACCCUGACGCAGCAACGCCGCGUGAGUGAUGAAGGCCUUUGGGUCGUAAAGCUCUGUCAAGUGGGAAGAAAAUGUAAAAUGAUAAUACCAUUUUACACUGACGGUACCACUGAAGGAAGCACCGGCUAACUCCGUGCCAGCAGCCGCGGUAAUACGGAGGGUGCAAGCGUUAUUCGGAAUUAUUGGGCGUAAAGGGCGCGUAGGCGGCCUUUUAAGUCAGAUGUGAAAGCCCGGGGCUUAA
RNAcentral lists this ribosomal RNA (632 nucleotides) under uncultured bacterium. Its description in RNAcentral is "bacterial SSU rRNA". It matches the Rfam family "Bacterial small subunit ribosomal RNA", at positions 8 to 612 of the family's 1533-position model. The record is from RNAcentral.